CCCUUAGAUGUUCUGGGCCGCACGCGCGCUACACUGAUGCAUUCAACGAGUCUAAAACCUGCUCUGAUAGGGGUGGGUAAUCUUUUGAAUGUGCAUCGUGAUUGGGAUAGAUGAUUGCAAUUUUUCAUCUUCAACGAGGAAUGCCUAGUAAACGCAGGUCAUCAGCUUGCAUUGAUUACGUCCCUGCCCUUUGUACACACCGCCCGUCGCUCCUACCGAUUGAAUGAUCCGAUGAAUAUCAUAGACUGAGAGUAUAAGCAGGUUCGCCUGUCUUUGCUUCUCGGGAAGUGAAGUAAAUCUUAUCAUUUAGAGGAAGGAGAAGUCGUAACA
This 330-nucleotide ribosomal RNA is filed under the name uncultured eukaryote. RNAcentral describes it as "partial 18S ribosomal RNA". It matches the Rfam family "Eukaryotic small subunit ribosomal RNA", at positions 1470 to 1796 of the family's 1831-position model. The record is from RNAcentral.